GCAUUCGUGCAGGUCAAAGGCACCCUCUCCCCCUAUCCGCCAGGUGCCUUCUAAGCACUUGGCCGCAGGUUCGAGUCCUGCCGGGGGCG
Molecule: transfer RNA, 89 nt
Filed under: Streptomyces sp. SID4951
Lineage: Bacteria; Bacillati; Actinomycetota; Actinomycetes; Kitasatosporales; Streptomycetaceae
Description: tRNA-Ser
Source: RNAcentral